Molecule: long non-coding RNA, 332 nt
Organism: Magnolia sinica
Lineage: Eukaryota; Viridiplantae; Streptophyta; Magnoliopsida; Magnoliales; Magnoliaceae
Exons: 3
Source: RefSeq, a predicted model, not a curated record
GGCACUACUGCAUAUAUGAUCAGGCAAAACUGAUAGAGAAAACCGCUACGUUAGGAAGGAAGAUUUGUUAAUAUUUUCUCUUCAACAUCAUUUUAGCAUGACUAAACAAUUGUCUUGGAAGAUUUGUUAAUACUUCGAACACUGAUUAAACGUGAGCCGCAAUCAACUUCAGGGUGAAUUGGGUGGCCAAUUUGGUGGACAACUAACUGGUCUCUCGACAUUAUACACUGUAGAAGCCCUGGAGAUGCUGUUGUUGCCCAUGGCAAAAGAUGGUACUGAGGCUCUUGGCUCAAUGGGAAAUGAUGCUCCUUUGGCUGUGAUGUCCAACAUCC